CCUACGGGAGACAGCAGUGAGGAAUAUUGGUCAAUGGCCGGAAGGCUGAACCAGCCAUGCCGCGUGAAGGUCAGUGCCCUAUGGGCGUUAAACUUCUUUUGUGCGGGAGCAAUAAUGGUCACGUGUGGCCAGACGAGAGUACCGUACGAAUAAGCAUCGGCUAACUCCGUGCCAGCAGCCGCGGUAAUACGGGGGAUGCAAGCGUUAUCCGGGUUUAUUGGGUUUAAAGGGUGCGUAGGCUGUGAGGUAAGUCAGCGGGGAAAUGCCCCCGCUCAACGGGGUGAAGUGCCAUUGAUACUGCCUUGCUGGAAUGCGGAUGCCGUGAGAGGAAUGUGUGGUGUAGCGGUGAAAUGCAUAGAUAUCACACAGAACACCGAUUGCGAAGGCAUCUCACGAAUCCGCGAUUGACGCUGAUGCACGAAAGCGUGGGUAUCAAACAGGAUUAGAUACCCUUGUAGUC
RNAcentral lists this ribosomal RNA (460 nucleotides) under uncultured bacterium. RNAcentral's name for it is "partial 16S ribosomal RNA". It matches the Rfam family "Bacterial small subunit ribosomal RNA", at positions 338 to 795 of the family's 1533-position model. The record is from RNAcentral.